AUUGGGAAGGGAGAGGGAGAUUUAAGUUGCUUAUCGGGAGGCUGAACUCAUACUGUGGACUACUUAACAUUUUAACGGACAUUUUUCUUAUAUAACUAUGACCAGACUAGGACCUUUGGGAGUAGGACUGUUGGCCGUUGUGCUGUAAUGUGACACAGACAGGUAUAACACUCUGUGUUAACUGGACGAACGCGCUUUCAGUGUUUUCUUCUGGAUAGUUUUUUGUUGUUGUUGUUCGUUAUUCCCCCCGGUGCUGGUGUGUAUUCGGGGGUUUCAGUCGGCAGUGUGAUGCAGAGUUUGGAAAAAUGUCUGGGGGAGGAGUACCUUUGGAUAUGGGAAGGACACAUCAUUCAAAAGUGGCAACACUUGAAAACGACCCCAAGGAGAGAGAAUGAGUCACUUUGCUUCAGAGCUCUUCAGCUCCUGGUACACUAUCUGCCUCUAGGAAGGGCCAAAGGAUGGACCAGAUAGAGAGUAAAAUCAGCCCUACCUUACAUCUUGGACCUAAGACCGAUUGGAACCAGCAUCCCCAGCUUCUGAGCCAGCAGUCCAUCAGCUCAAUCUUUCGCGUAUAGGACACCCCAGCACAACAACUCAGUAUGCCACUGCAGUAAAGAACGACAAAGUCACCAUUCCACUUCAAGAUGAUAGUUUGACUUGAGCCACAGACAAACUGUUCUAAGCUGUUUUGGAACAAGUCAAUUUCAGUAAUGUCUCAGAGGAUGCAGCAAGUGAAUGGUGCCCCCUGUCUUGUGCUUGUGCAGUUUGAUGACAGCAUGGCCUGAUGGAUCAGUUAUUUGUAGGCUAGUGCACUCUUGCUGAAUUCUAUUAAUUGAACUUCUGUGAAUUUUCUCGCUGAAUUGUUUUUUUCAGUUUGAUUUUUAGUUAGUGCUUCAAAUGUCAGCAUACAAAUGGAGAAUGAUUUGACUUUUCUAAUGCAUUUACUUUAUUUUGUGUCUUGUAAAGUUUUUACGGUCACCAUUUUUGUAAGACAGACGUAUUCUCCAGUACAAAAUGCAAUAUUAUGGUCUUAAAAGCUUAUUUUCCAUCCGUACAUUAGACUCACCAAGACUGUAUGUUGUUACACUUUAUAUAUAUUGUUUGAAAAAAUAAAUAAAUCUGACCUGAA
This is a long non-coding RNA of Cheilinus undulatus (humphead wrasse), 1129 nucleotides long. RefSeq lists it as uncharacterized. NCBI's taxonomy places the organism in Eukaryota, Metazoa, Chordata, Actinopteri, Labriformes, Labridae. The record is from RefSeq and is a predicted model, not a curated record. The transcript has 4 exons.